GACGUAGGUGGCAAGCGUUGUCCGGAAUUAUUGGGCGUAAAGCGCGCGCAGGCGGUCCUUUAAGUCUGAUGUGAAAGCCCACGGCUCAACCGUGGAGGGUCAUUGGAAACUGGGGGACUUGAGUGCAGAAGAGGAAAGCGGAAUUCCACGUGUAGCGGUGAAAUGCGUAGAGAUGUGGAGGAACACCAGUGGCGAAGGCGGCUUUCUGGUCUGUAACUGACGCUGAGGCGCGAAAGCGUGGGGAGCAAACAGG
Molecule: ribosomal RNA, 253 nt
Filed under: uncultured bacterium
Lineage: Bacteria
Description: partial 16S ribosomal RNA
Rfam family: Bacterial small subunit ribosomal RNA
Source: RNAcentral